RNAcentral lists this ribosomal RNA (1110 nucleotides) under Deltaproteobacteria bacterium. RNAcentral describes it as "bacterial SSU rRNA". It matches the Rfam family "Bacterial small subunit ribosomal RNA", at positions 387 to 1509 of the family's 1533-position model. The record is from RNAcentral. Lineage: Bacteria; Pseudomonadati; Myxococcota; Myxococcia.
UCCAGCCAUGCCGCGUGCAGGAAGACUGCCCUAUGGGUUGUAAACUGCUUUUAUACAGGAAGAAACCGCUCUACGUGUAGAGCUCUGACGGUACUGUAAGAAUAAGGAUCGGCUAACUCCGUGCCAGCAGCCGCGGUAAUACGGAGGAUCCAAGCGUUAUCCGGAAUCAUUGGGUUUAAAGGGUCCGUAGGUGGAUAAUUAAGUCAGAGGUGAAAGUCUGCAGCUCAACUGUAGAAUUGCCUUUGAUACUGGUUAUCUUGAGUUAUUAUGAAGUAGUUAGAAUAUGUAGUGUAGCGGUGAAAUGCAUAGAUAUUACAUAGAAUACCAAUUGCGAAGGCAGAUUACUAAUAAUAUACUGACACUGAUGGACGAAAGCGUGGGGAGCGAACAGGAUUAGAUACCCUGGUAGUCCACGCCGUAAACGAUGGUUACUAGCUGUUCGGACUUCGGUCUGAGUGGCUAAGCGAAAGUGAUAAGUAACCCACCUGGGGAGUACGUUCGCAAGAAUGAAACUCAAAGGAAUUGACGGGGGCCCGCACAAGCGGUGGAGCAUGUGGUUUAAUUCGAUGAUACGCGAGGAACCUUACCAGGGCUUAAAUGCAGUACGACAGGUCUAGAGAUAGACUUUUCUUCGGACGGAUUGCAAGGUGCUGCAUGGUUGUCGUCAGCUCGUGCCGUGAGGUGUCAGGUUAAGUCCUAUAACGAGCGCAACCCCUACUGUUAGUUGCCAGCAUGUCAAGAUGGGGACUCUAACAGGACUGCCGGUGCAAACCGUGAGGAAGGUGGGGAUGACGUCAAAUCAUCACGGCCCUUACGUCCUGGGCUACACACGUGCUACAAUGGCCGGUACAGAGGGAAGCCACCCCGCAAGGGGGCGCGGAUCUACAAAACCGGUCACAGUUCGGAUCGGGGUCUGCAACUCGACCCCGUGAAGCUGGAAUCGCUAGUAAUCGGAUAUCAGCCAUGAUCCGGUGAAUACGUUCCCGGGCCUUGUACACACCGCCCGUCAAGCCAUGGAAGCCGGGAGUGCCUGAAGUCCGUCACCGCAAGGAGCGGCCUAGGGCAAAAUUAGUAACUAGGGCUAAGUCGUAACAAGGUAGCCGUACCGGA